UAAGCAUAUCAAUAAGCGGAGGAAAAGAAACCAACAGGGAUUGCCCUAGUAACGGCGAGUGAAGCGGCAACAGCUCAAAUUUGAAAUCUGGCGUCUUUGGCGUCCGAGUUGUAAUUUGCAGAGGGCGCUUUGGCGUUGGCAGCGGUCCAAGUUCCUUGGAACAGGACGUCACAGAGGGUGAGAAUCCCGUACGUGGUCGCUGGCCUUCGCCGUGUAAAGCCCCUUCGACGAGUCGAGUUGUUUGGGAAUGCAGCUCUAAAUGGGAGGUAAAUUUCUUCUAAAGCUAAAUACUGGCCAGAGACCGAUAGCGCACAAGUAGAGUGAUCGAAAGAUGAAAAGCACUUUGGAAAGAGAGUUAAAAAGCACGUGAAAUUGUUGAAAGGGAAGCGCUUGCAGCCAGACUUGCCUGUAGUUGCUCAUCCGGGUUUUUACCCGGUGCACUCUUCUGCGGGCAGGCCAGCAUCAGUUUGGGCGGUUGGAUAAAGGUCUCUGUCAUGUACCUCUCUUCGGGGAGAACUUAUAGGGGAGACGACAUGCAACCAGCCUGGACUGAGGUCCGCGCAUCUGCUAGGAUGCUGGCGUAAUGGCUGUAAGCGGCCCGUCUUGAAACACGGACCAAGGAGUCUAACAUCUAUGCGAGUGUUUGGGUGUCAAGCCCGAGCGCGUAAUGAAAGUGAACGGAGGUGGGAACCUUUCGGGGUGCACCAUCGACCGAUCCUGAUGUCUUCGGAUGGAUUUGAGUAAGAGCAUAGCUGUUGGGACCCGAAAGAUGGUGAACUAUGCUUGAAUAGGGUGAAGCCAGAGGAAACUCUGGUGGAGGCUCGCAGCGGUUCUGACGUGCAAAUCGAUCGUCAAAUUUGGGCAUAGGGGCGAAAGACUAAUCGAACUAUCUAGUAGCUGGUUCCUGCCGAAGUUUCCCUCAGGAUAGCAGUAACGUUUUCAGUUUUAUGAGGUAAAGCGAAUGAUUAGAGGCCUGGGGGUUGAAACAACCUUCACCUAUUCUCAAACUUUAAAUAUGUAAGAAGUCCUUGUUACUUGAUUGAACGUGGACACUUGAAUGUAUCGUUACUAGUGGGCCAUUUUUGGUAAGCAGAACUGGCGAUGCGGGAUGAACCGAACGUGGGGUUAAGGUGCCAGAAUAUACGCUCAUCAGACACCA
RNAcentral lists this ribosomal RNA (1159 nucleotides) under Faurelina indica. Its description in RNAcentral is "eukaryotic LSU rRNA". It matches the Rfam family "Eukaryotic large subunit ribosomal RNA", at positions 35 to 1214 of the family's 3401-position model. Lineage: Eukaryota; Fungi; Ascomycota; Sordariomycetes; Microascales; Chadefaudiellaceae. The record is from RNAcentral.